RNAcentral lists this ribosomal RNA (477 nucleotides) under uncultured anaerobic ammonium-oxidizing bacterium. RNAcentral describes it as "bacterial SSU rRNA". It matches the Rfam family "Bacterial small subunit ribosomal RNA", at positions 365 to 832 of the family's 1533-position model. The record is from RNAcentral.
UUCGCAAUGCCCGAAAGGGUGACGAAGCGACGCCGCGUGCGGGAAGAAGGCCUUCGGGUUGUAAACCGCUGUCGGGAGUUAAGAAAUGCAAGGAUGUUAAUAGCGUCUUUGCUUGACUAAGGCUCCGGAGGAAGCCACGGCUAACUCUGUGCCAGCAGCCGCGGUAAUACAGAGGCGGCAAGCGUUGUUCGGAAUUAUUGGGCGUAAAGAGCACGUAGGCGGCUGUGUAAGUCGGUUGUGUAAGCCUUCCGCUCAACGGAAGAACGGCAUCCGAUACUGCAUAGCUUGAGUGCGGGAGGGGAGAGUGGAACUUCUGGUGGAGCGGUGAAAUGCGUAGAUAUCAGAAGGAACGCCGGCGGCGAAAGCGGCUCUCUGGCCCAUAACUGACGCUGAGUGUGCGAAAGCUAGGGGAGCAAACGGGAUUAGAUACCCCGGUAGUCCUAGCCGUAAACGAUGGGCACUAAGUAGAGGGGUUUU